Molecule: ribosomal RNA, 815 nt
Filed under: Pristimantis carylae
Lineage: Eukaryota; Metazoa; Chordata; Amphibia; Anura; Strabomantidae
Description: Pristimantis sp. ca MRC-2021 partial large subunit ribosomal RNA
Rfam family: Bacterial large subunit ribosomal RNA
Source: RNAcentral
AUUGAGAACUCCUAUAGCCCUAUAGGACCUUUUAUGCUAAAACUAGUAACAAGAGAUAACCCCUCUCUAUAAUGUAAACUCAAGCCAGCUUGAACCCAUCACUGGCACCCAACAGACUUAAACUAAAGUAGCAACUCCUCUAGAAAAUACUACUCUACCUACUGUUAACCUAACACAAGAACAUUUAAAGAAAGAUUAAAAGGAAAAGAAGGAACUCGGCAAACAUUAAACCCGCCUGUUUACCAAAAACAUCACCUCUUGUAUCACAUAAGAGGCCCAGCCUGCCCAGUGAUUUUAUUCAACGGCCGCGGUAUCCUAACCGUGCAAAGGUAGCGUAAUCACUUGUCUCCUAAAUAGAGACUAGUAUGAAAGGCAUCACGAGGAUUAAACUGUCUCCUCUCCCUAAUCAGUGAACCUAAUCUCCCCGUGAAGAAGCGGGGGUAGUCUUAUAAGACGAGAAGACCCUAUGGAGCUUAAAACAAUAUUACACGUGCUACUCCUCUUCUACACCAAGGUCAUCACCUAUCAGCACGCUGAUGAUAUGUUUUCGGUUGGGGUGACCGCGGAAAACAAAUUAACCUCCACGAUGAAAGGGGGAUACCCCCCUAAACAACAAGCCACAACUUUACUCAUCAAUAAAUUGACAUUCAUUGACCCAAUACUUUGACCAACGAACCAAGUUACCCUAGGGAUAACAGCGCAAUCCACUUCGAGAGCCCCUAUCGACAAGUGGGCUUACGACCUCGAUGUUGGAUCAGGGUAUCCCAGUGGUGCAGCCGCUACUAAAGGUUCGUUUGUUCAACGAUUAAAACCCU